Sarcophilus harrisii (Tasmanian devil) is the source of this 811-nucleotide long non-coding RNA. RefSeq lists it as uncharacterized. The transcript has 3 exons. NCBI's taxonomy places the organism in Eukaryota, Metazoa, Chordata, Mammalia, Dasyuromorphia, Dasyuridae. The record is from RefSeq and is a predicted model, not a curated record.
UGGUCCCAUAUUCAGAUAUCAAUAAUUAACAUAAAGUUUAUCAGGUUUUUAUAUACUCAAUUUGGUCUUCUAAAUAUCCCUUUCUACGCCCACCCCCGUCCCACUCCAAAUUCAGGUAAGUCUUUUCAAACAAGUUGAGUUGAGAAAUUAGCAUUCAUAUUUUCUCCUUUCUUUUCUGUCUCCAAAUGGUUAUCACAAUUGGGCACAGAUCAACAUGGUUCUUAGCAGGAAAAGUGACUAGGAAUUAAAAUAACUCGUUCCCCAGGGGUUAUCAGCUGGAUAUCAGUCCUCAUCAGUUUGUACAGAGAGAGUCUCAUCUGGCGGGAGCUGUGUGAAGUCUGUCUCGCUCCCUGGAGCUAACAAACAUCAUUCCUUCCGAUGGACGUGACCCAAAGACUGGGGACAGAGAAUUUAACUGGGGGAAAGUCAACGAAUGAUGAAAGCUAACUCUGCCCAGGUGUCCUUCCCACCCUAUCCAUCCACUUCCCCAAACUCAAUCCCCUACCCCAGGUUGUACUUGUGCCCAGAGCCUGUUUUUCUCCUGUCUUUGACAACCCUGAUCUUCUCUGGGUUUGAUUUAUUGAGUGCUGUCGUUUCUCUGCUCUUUACUUUCACAAUCACACAUUCAAACUCGAUAAAGUUCAAGACCCUGAAUGCUUCCAGCUCUCCCAGAUUUACAGUCAUGCUGCCUCCCAGAGCAACUCUGAAGCUGAUUGAAUCCUCAUGCACGCAAGAAGUUGGCAAGAAUCAUCAAAAAAGCCAGAAGAGAUGGUGCAUAGGAUGGUAACAGUCAUAUUCUUGGGAGGGGGGG